GUCAUGGCUGGUAUCAUCGCCAUUUAUGGCCUCGUUGUAGCGGUGCUCAUUGCCAACAACAUUACAGAGCGGGUCAGCCUUUACAAGUGUGGUGACCAAAAUAGCCCCGUCCACUACUUUGUGCUUCUUGAGGUUCUCCAAUAUGGCCAAAUGCUCGUCAGAUGUCCCUGGCGGCGUGUCCACCAGCAGCACGUCCAGCUCUCCCCACGCCACGUCUGACACAAACUGAGCAAUCAUCGCUGAGAGGAACAAAGAAGAGGACGAUGAGUUCAAGUCUCAUAGAGGGUUCCUACACACAACAUUAUGUAAUUUUACCAGACUAUAAAUACAUACCAGACUUUAUGGUUACUUUUUGAAAAAAAUAUCUGAUAAUUAUAUUACUGUUUUUGUGCUCAGAUCAAGGCCAAAUGGUUUUAUGUUUUCAAUUUCUGAUACUUUUCCAGACUAGGAAAUGUAUAGAACCAAAUUCCCUACUUUUCCAUACAGUGUAGAAACUCUGGUAGAUGUACGCCACCUGUUUUCUUGGGUCCCCUCCACACCACAGCUUCAUCCGGGUCGUCCAGCAGGAAGCCGAUGGACAUGAGCGCGAGGUUUUUCUCCGCGUCGGCGUAGACGGGCACCCAGCCCGAGUCGCACUGGUGCACGUCUGGACGACCCACGCUCAGCAUGCGCGGGAUACUGGGCCCGCACAGGUCUACGUCCAGGAUGCCAACCUGAUGGAACACAAAACUAAAGUGUAAAUUAUCUUUACCCAUCUCCUUCAUUCUCUCAUUCCUCGCUUAUUUCCUUCAACGACUUCUUUCCUACCAUCCUUCCACGCUACCUUCUGCCCCUUCUUUCCAUCAUUCUUCUUCCCUUCCUUCCAUCCAUAUUACAUCCUCACUUCAUCUUUUGUUCUUUCAUUGCUCCUAUUCUUCCGUUUAGUAUUCCUUCUUUUUUUCCAUCCCUUUCAUUCUUUCCUCUCUUUCCCUUCCAUUCAUUUAAAACAGUGCACACCUACUUUGGGCCCGCCUUGUAUACAUAAUAUAUUGGAAAAAUACAAAUAAUACAACUAAAGGACCCCAAACAAGCUGUGAUUUCUUUGCCCAAUGAUUUAUGAAGUAUCACUGGCCUUUUUCCCAGCAUGCCUCAGUGCCAGAGCAAGCUCGGCAGUGAUGGUACUCUUCCCCACACCUCCUUUUCCGGACAGAACCAAGAUGACAUGCUGCACUUGGGACAGGCUGCUGCUAUCUAGGAAGAAAGGAAAAACACCUUUAAUUCACUGGUGGGAAGAAACGUACUUUAUUACUGCAAUUAAGUAGAUUAUUUCAGGUAUCUGUACUUGAGUAUUUUUCUCACGACUUUUUCAUUUUACUCCCUACAUUUGAAAACAAAUCUAGUUUCUACACCUUACUUUGUCAAAAUAGGCUUGUCACUUUUUUUAAACAUUUGUUUUAUUCUUGAAAAGCGUUUACAUUUUUUAGAGCAGUGAACGUCACGUUUUGUCACCUGACACCACAAGUUCGACAAAAGUAGGUUAGAGUUUCUUUUGGGUGCUUUUUCCAAAAGUGUGGCACGUUUUUUUUUUUUUUGUAUUUUUUUUUUUGACCAACUAAUAAUACGUUUUCAUUAUGAAAAACUACCACGCAUUUUAGGUACGGUACUAAACGCGUUUCCUGUUAUCUAAUCUAGCCAUUUGUUGGAUUAUAAAACGUUUGAUCCGUUUUUGUUAUUCAUCACGAUACUCUAGCUAUAAACAAGCGUUAAAUGGUAAACUAACAGAAAACUCACAAUUCUUCUGUUCCAUAACUGCUAUUUGGCAAAUUUAAGCAGCAUCCGUGCGCAUUGGGUGCCGAAAACACUUCCGUAAAAUGGCCACCUGACUAGUGUCAGCCAAUCAGAUGCCCAUGCAACGCUCAGUGUCCAAUAGCAAAGCACGUGGUGUUCAUGUUACCCAUAUAUGCUCGGACUUAAAACAACUCUACAGGAUAUUCAUUGAAAUAGCAGACGUUUUGUCCUCCAUUAGCAAGUUGUCUUAUGUAUUACACCUAAAUUUAGUUUUAAAUAUCAUUCGGUAUUUGUCAUAGAUAUGUAGUAAAGUAAAGAUUUCCAAAGUCCAUAAAUAUACUUUAAUUCACAGGCUUGAGGCUAAAGCCACAUAGUCCCUCCCCCUUCUUCGGUGUUAUCCAAUGAGCGGAGAGCGGAGGCGUGAUCAGGGUCAUGUUUACGUCUGUCUUUCCGGGCGCGAGAGAACAAGAAGUGGGCCACAGUGUGAAGUGCACCUGUCGCAUACUCGGAUAUAGUGGCAGGCUGACACUCAAAUGAGCCACUGCUGCUGGGCCGGGCACCAGAAGAUUCCAGUAAGAUCAUCCAUGCUGAGAAGGGGAAGGAGCGGCCGCCCUCGACAUUUGGCCCGGAGCGAAACACGGCGCGGGAUGGAUUCUGUGACGGGGAUGUCCAUAUCGGCCGAAGCCGAAGAAUGGGAUAGGCAGACAACAACGCAGAUCACUGAGGUGGAGUCUGAGGUGGAUCACCUGGGGAGCUCUGAGCCGACAGAAGCGACGGCCCCGUCCAGCCUGGCGCCCGUGCUCGGCGAGUCUUUCUGCCAGUGUGCCUGGGGAGACGAGCCGAACGCGGGCUUCGGGAUCGGCGCCGACUGCCUCUGUGGAGAGGACGACGACGACUUUGCCUGGGUGUGGGACGAGCGCCUGAAGUCGUCGGGCGCCUUCCUCAGCUGCGACGACCGCAAAGUGAGCUUCCACUCGGACUACAGCUGCGGCACCGCCGCCAUCCGGGGCACCAGAGAGCUCGCCGACGGGCAACACUUCUGGGAAGUCAAGAUGACCUCGCCGGUCUACGGAACAGACAUGAUGGUUGGAAUUGGAACUGCGGAAGUGAACCUGGAGAAAUUCAAGUAUAACUUUGGCAGCCUAUUGGGUCACGACGAGGACAGCUGGGGGCUCUCCUACACAGGUCUCCUCCAGCAUAAAGGUGAGAAAGUGAACUUCUCCUCACGGUUCGGUCAAGGAUCCAUCAUCGGAUUGCACUUGGACACCUGGCACGGUACCUUGACCAUCUACAAGAAUCGACGCUGCGUAGGCGUCGCUGCCAGCAGGCUGCAGAGCAAGAAGCUGUACCCGAUGUUGUGCUCCACAGCGGCCAAGAGCAGCAUGAAGGUGAUCCGCGCCUGUUACACGCCCACCUCCCUGCAGUACCUCUGCUGUACGCGCCUUCGCAAAAUCCUCCCGGCCCGCCCGGACGUGUUGACCGCCCUGGAGCUGCCUCCGGGCCUGCUGGCUCUCCUACGCCGGCGGCUCGGCUGGCUGUUCUCCGUCACGGAAGCCGAGGGGGACGCCGACGCCGGCUCCCCGGCGAGCCGCGACCUCGGUGGCCGCGGCUCCCCGAGUCCCCGCGCCAGUCCCGUCCCCAGACCAUGUUUCUGCCCCCCGACGCCCCCCGGCGGUGACGACGGCCCCGAGCCAGAUGAUUAUCGGAGUAAAAGAUGCCGCUGGACAUGAUGCGUGCGACUCCCAUCAAUGCCACCAGAUGGCGGUAACAGGACAAUUGUGUAAAUGAAGUUCCUCAACUCACUUCCGCGCCAAGAUGCCACCAGACAGCGCCGAAGCAAUAUUGCGUUUGCCCGAAAAGGCCCAGAUUCCACACUAAAUGACCGUGUCUAAGAAUUCCGAUGGACCGAGCACCUGCACCAGCUGGUCCUCUGCCACCGGUCCUGCGCCAUCCUCGGCCAGCUGAUCAUAGAAAUGCAAUGCAAAACGAGAGGAGCUCUUUUGGAAACUUAAGUGCCCACCUCAGGUAAAUCCUUGGUCCAUGUGAUGCUGUUGGGAAGCGCCUGUGGUUGGAUGCUGUACCUCCAGUCAAAAGAAGACAGAGUGCCCAGCAAGAUGUCCGAGCCCUGCUGUUGCAGGAGAGCUGGAGAUGUGGGAGUGGAGCAGAUAAGUGUUGAAAAUCCUGACAUUCGCUAACUAUACUCUCCAAAUUCCACUCAAAAUUCGCAAUAUUCAAACAUGGCGGCCCCAAAAUCAAACACCCCCCCCCCCCCCCCACAUUUUAUUAUUAUUAUUAUUAUUUAUUUAUUUAUUCCCUUUAUAAUUCGAUAUACAUUGGUUUUAGUGUACUAAUGUGGACCAUCACACCUGGAUCAAUGCAGACAGUCAAAGUCUUGAGGAAGUUUUCUGGCUUGAGACUGUUGAGAUGUUGUGCAGCUUCUUUCCUCCUCUGCAGCUCCUUCCUCUUCUCCUGCUUCUCUCGCUCCUUUGCAGCUCGGCUCUCCUCUCGAGCCUCCCUCCGCUCUCUCGCUUUCUGCUUGUCCGCCUCGAUCUCCUCCUUAGAGCGGCGUUUUCUCGUCGGACUCGGCCGUCCGUAUUCAUCGGGUGGCGGUGGGACUAAAACGUCUUUCGCACUUCUGUCGCCUUGAACAAAGCCUUUUGCUUCCACGCCGCCUUCGGAAUCGGAAUCGGAUAUUUCCCAUAUUGUAGACUGAUGCAACGUGCUCAUUUUACUUGUAAACAACUUUCGAUAAAUACGUAAAAUUCGGCCGAUCGGUUAAAAGAAGGAUCAUUUAAAUCCUGCUUGCGACGGAGUCUGACGAGGGUCAAUUAGAUGAAACGAUGCCACGGUGUCUGUAGAGGGCCAAAUAAACAUAUUUGAAAAAAACGCGUAGGAAUUAUUUUGUUGAAAGUUUUGCAAACAGGCUAAAUGAGCAAUCACUUUAAGACGAAAAUGAGCCACUCAUAAAUACAUAUUAUUACACUGUUAUUAUUUGACGAAGACGUGGGGGCAAAGUCUUUAAUGCUGUAUAAUACGGUUGAGACAGCGUGUGUAAAUUAUUGAAUGACUCUCCCUUUUACGAAAAGGACACCUUAAAUAGUCAAUACUAUCAU
Molecule: RNA transcript, 4880 nt
Organism: Phycodurus eques (leafy seadragon)
Lineage: Eukaryota; Metazoa; Chordata; Actinopteri; Syngnathiformes; Syngnathidae
Gene: spsb3b
Gene name: splA/ryanodine receptor domain and SOCS box containing 3b
Exons: 12
Source: RefSeq, a predicted model, not a curated record